GUUUCCGGCCACACCACCCUGAACGCGCCCGAUCUCGUCUGAUCUCAGAAGCUAAGCAGGGUCGGGCCUGGUUAGUACUUGGAUGGGAGAACUGUCAGUAUUGGGUCAGCAAGCA
RNAcentral lists this ribosomal RNA (115 nucleotides) under Castor canadensis (American beaver). Lineage: Eukaryota; Metazoa; Chordata; Mammalia; Rodentia; Castoridae. The record is from RNAcentral.